UUUUUGACAUGCUUUGCAUGCCAGGCUCCCUGCAGGUAUGUGCGGCCAACUUUCAUGGGGCGUUUGUUCACUGUCCCUUUGAUUAGCACUUUUGCUUGUUAGGGUCUCGCUGUGGGUUGGGCUGGGGGGUUUUACCCUUGUUGGUAGCAGGAUGUCCCGUCGUUGCCUGUUCAGCCUGUUAUGGGGAUGUUAGGCUUCACAAGCGGCCGAUGUGUCAUCAAAUUCCACAUGUCUCGAAGCGCUUGUGCUUCGGAAGUGCAUUUGGAUAUUUGUUGUGUCCCAUGGAUAUUGUGCCUGUCGGGAGGUCUAUCGGCUUCAUGCUUGUAGACCGAUGAGGUUGCCUUUGCACGGAUCAUUGCUGCGGAUGAAACUUGUGGGACAGGUAGUCGGUUKGGSNCAUAGCGGGUGGCUGAGUCG
RNAcentral lists this unclassified non-coding RNA (417 nucleotides) under Cyperus pseudovegetus. RNAcentral describes it as "partial external transcribed spacer 1f". Lineage: Eukaryota; Viridiplantae; Streptophyta; Magnoliopsida; Poales; Cyperaceae. The record is from RNAcentral.